GCCUUGCUCUGCCCAGUAAUAAACCUUUCUCUGAGCCAAACUCUGACAUUUUGGUUGGUUUGUUUGGCCUCACUGAACAUUAAGCAUAUGAACUCGUGUUCAGUAACAACUUUGGUGAAGCUAACCUAGGAGUCUGGAUUCAUGGCCAGUUAACCUCACCCAGGCGGAUGCCCUUGCCUGGGUCCGAGCAGUUGCCAGAGCUCACUUCACUCCAGGGAACAGGGAGGGACUCUCCCCAACAGGCACCAGCCACCCUGCCUGAGGCUGUUUGGAGCUGAGCAGUGGCCCACAUUCAGAGUGUCGCCUGAGGUUCCUGCAGCAGAGGGAAGAGGUACCCGUCUGAGGUGUCGUGCCAGAGAGAUGGAUCACGGUCAGUUAACAGAAGGCACCUGAAUCCGUUUGAGUGAACGCUCCCAGGCCCCCAUCAGUUCACAGAACGAAGCAGAAGCACAAGACACCGCAUCCGAGCUGGAGUGAGAGGAAGAGCCCAAGUGCGCCGACCAACCCCAGGUGGCACUUAUAAGUGUGCUGUCACACCCAGGGGAGGCAUGGUAAAGCCAGCCGAGGAGGCGGACUGGCCGGAGGAGGAGGGCAGCUCCAGGCGCAGCAUGUCAACCUGAGACACACAGGAGCCAAGCAUUGACCUGAGGCCAAGUUCUGACCAAUGAGAUGGGAGCAGACCUGUCCUAUGCAG
This is a long non-coding RNA of Camelus dromedarius (Arabian camel), 694 nucleotides long. RefSeq lists it as uncharacterized. The record is from RefSeq and is a predicted model, not a curated record. Lineage: Eukaryota; Metazoa; Chordata; Mammalia; Artiodactyla; Camelidae. The transcript has 4 exons.